RNAcentral lists this ribosomal RNA (715 nucleotides) under Torresitrachia sp. 'clade cut'. RNAcentral describes it as "partial 16S ribosomal RNA". The stretch from base 325 to 483 matches the Rfam family "Archaeal large subunit ribosomal RNA", at positions 1882 to 2091 of the family's 2987-position model. Lineage: Eukaryota; Metazoa; Mollusca; Gastropoda; Stylommatophora; Camaenidae. The record is from RNAcentral.
CACGAAUUCGUGUGAGCUAACUUAACUACAAAGUAUGUGGCAUAAUAUAAAUUGAAAUUAAGUUAGGGGUGAGAGGCCUUUCAAAAACGAAGAUAUCUUGAAGUAAAUAAAAAAAAUUGAGUUUUAAGGUAAUUACGAAGUUAUAAGAUUUUGUAAAGGAUUUAAUUUUUUUUUUCUUUGAAAUAUAGGAAUAAAACCCCAUAUGAAUAAGAUAUAAAUAUAAAGUUAGUAAGCUUAUUUAUUUAAUUUACGGUAACACAACUAUUGUAUAAUCAUAAUGUUAUUAUAAGUAUUUAUUAGGUACUAAUAGUGAACUCGGCAAUAAAGCUUUCAACUGUUUAUCAAAAACAUAGUCAUAUGUUUUAUAUAUGGUGUGUUCUGCUCAAUGAUAAGUUAAAUAGCCGCAGUACCCUGACUGUGCAAAGGUAGCGUAAUCAUUUGUCUUUUAAUUGGAGUCGUGUAUGAAUGAAUGCAUGGGGGCUUACUUUACCAUUAGUAUAAUAUGAAGUUACUUAAGAGGUGAAAAAACCUCUAUCUAAAAAAUAGACGAGAAGACCCUUGAAAUUUGUAAAAUUGUUUUGUUGGGGCAACAUAGUAGAUAAACCUACUAAAUGUACAUGUAAUUUAAUUGAUUGAGUAAAUUACUCUAGGGAUAACAGCAUAAUUUAAAUAAGUUUGUGACCUCGAUGUUGGAUUAGGGAACUAAAACUUAAAA